This 250-nucleotide ribosomal RNA is filed under the name Glaesserella parasuis. RNAcentral describes it as "partial 16S ribosomal RNA". It matches the Rfam family "Bacterial small subunit ribosomal RNA", at positions 1 to 246 of the family's 1533-position model. The record is from RNAcentral. Lineage: Bacteria; Pseudomonadati; Pseudomonadota; Gammaproteobacteria; Pasteurellales; Pasteurellaceae.
AAUUGAAGAGUUUGAUCAUGGCUCAGAUUGAACGCUGGCGGCAGGCUUAACACAUGCAAGUCGAACGGUAGCAGGAAGGAAGCUUGCUUUCUUUGCUGACGAGUGGCGGACGGGUGAGUAAUGCUUGGGAAUCUGGCUUAUGGAGGGGGAUAACUACGGGAAACUGUAGCUAAUACCGCGUAAUGUCUAAGGACUAGAGGGUGGGACUUUCGGGCCACCUGCCAUAAGAUGAGCCCAAGUGGGAUUAGGU